CGCAACCCCUCGCAUUUAGUUGCCAUCGGUACGGGCCGGGCACUCUAGAUGGACUGCCGGCGGACAAGCCGGAGGAAGGUGGGGAGUGACGUCAAGUCAUCAUGGCCCUUAUGUCCAGGGCGACACACGUGCUACAAUGGCCGGCACAGCGGGAAGCGAAUGGGCGACCAUGAGCGGAUCCCCAUAAAAGCCGGUCCCAGUUCGGAUUGCAGUCUGCAACUCGACUGCAUGAAGUUGGAAUCGCUAGUAAUCGCGGAUCAGCCAAGCCGCGGUGAAUACGUUCCCGGGCCUU
Molecule: ribosomal RNA, 292 nt
Filed under: uncultured Thermovirga sp.
Lineage: Bacteria; Thermotogati; Synergistota; Synergistia; Synergistales; Thermovirgaceae
Description: partial 16S ribosomal RNA
Rfam family: Bacterial small subunit ribosomal RNA
Source: RNAcentral